Molecule: ribosomal RNA, 544 nt
Filed under: uncultured Glomeromycotina
Lineage: Eukaryota; Fungi; Glomeromycota
Description: SSU rRNA
Rfam family: Eukaryotic small subunit ribosomal RNA
Source: RNAcentral
UUGGAGGGCAAGUCUGGUGCCAGCAGCCGCGGUAAUUCCAGCUCCAAUAGCGUAUAUUAAAGUUGUUGCAGUUAAAAAGCUCGUAGUUGAAUUUCGGGGUUCUACCGUUGGUCGGGCUUUGUCUGUACUGGUGUGUAGAAUUUCUACCUUCUGGGGAACCAUCAUGCUAUUAAUUUAGCGUGGUGGGAAACCAGGACCUUUACCUUGAAAAGAUUAGUGUGUUCAAAGCAGGCUUAUGUCUGAAUACAUUAGCGUGGAAUAAUAGAAUAGGACGGUGGUCCUGUUUUGUUGGUUUCUGAAUCACCGUAAUGAUUAAUAGGGAUAGUUGGGGGCAUUAGUAUUCAAUUGUCAGAGGUGAAAUUCUUGGAUUUAUUGAAGACUAACUUCUGCGAAAGCAUUUGCCAAGGAUGUUUUCAUUAAUCAAGAACGAAAGUUAGGGGAUCGAAGACGAUCAGAUACCGUCGUAGUCUUAACCAUAAACUAUGCCGACUAGGGAUCGGACGAUGUUAAUUUUUCUUGACUCGUUCGGCGCCUUACGGGAAAC